GAUGAACGCUAGCGGCAGGCUUAACACAUGCAAGUCGAGGGGCAGCGCGGGAUAGCAAUAUCCUGGCGGCGACCGGCGGAAGGGUGCGUAACGCGUGAGCGACAUGCCCGUUGCCCGGGGACAACCGGUGGAAACGCCGACUAAUCCCCGAUGGGAUACGAUGCUUCAUGGCAUUGUAUUGAAAGUUACGGCGGCGUCGGAUUGGCUCGCGUCCGAUUAGCUGGUUGGCGGGGUAACGGCCCACCAAGGCUGCGAUCGGUAGGGGUUCUGAGAGGAAGGCCCCCCACAAUGGGACUGAGACACGGCCCAUACUCCUACGGGAGGCAGCAGUGAGGAAUAGUGGUCAAUGGGCGGAAGCCUGAACCAGCCAUGCCGCGUGCGGGAAGGAGGCCCUAUGGGCUGUGAACCGCUUUUGCCUGGGGGCAAUAAGGGCGUCGCGCACGUCCGAUGAGAGUACCAGGCGAAUAAGCAUCGGCUAACUCCGUG
This 486-nucleotide ribosomal RNA is filed under the name uncultured bacterium. RNAcentral's name for it is "partial 16S ribosomal RNA". It matches the Rfam family "Bacterial small subunit ribosomal RNA", at positions 28 to 507 of the family's 1533-position model. The record is from RNAcentral.